This 269-nucleotide ribosomal RNA is filed under the name uncultured Gammaproteobacteria bacterium. RNAcentral describes it as "partial 16S ribosomal RNA". It matches the Rfam family "Bacterial small subunit ribosomal RNA", at positions 72 to 339 of the family's 1533-position model. The record is from RNAcentral. Lineage: Bacteria; Pseudomonadati; Pseudomonadota; Gammaproteobacteria.
AGAGAAGCUUGCUUCUCUGCUGACGAGCGGCGGACGGGUGAGUAAUGCCUAGGAAUCUGCCUUGUAGUGGGGGAUAACUUGCCGAAAGGUAAGCUAAUACCGCAUACGCCCUAAGGGGGAAAGCAGGGGACUCUUCGGAGCCUUGCGCUAUUAGAUGAGCCUAGGUCGGAUUAGUUAGUUGGUGGGGUAAUGGCUCACCAAGACCGCGAUCCGUAACUGGUCUGAGAGGAUGAUCAGUCACACUGGAACUGAGACACGGUCCAGACUCC